This 274-nucleotide ribosomal RNA is filed under the name uncultured bacterium. RNAcentral's name for it is "partial 16S ribosomal RNA". It matches the Rfam family "Bacterial small subunit ribosomal RNA", at positions 523 to 796 of the family's 1533-position model. The record is from RNAcentral.
AUACGAAGGGUGCAAGCGUUAAUCGGAAUUACUGGGCGUAAAGCGCGCGUAGGCGGUUGGAUAAGUCGGAUGUGAAAGCCCCGGGCUCAACCUGGGAACUGCAUUCGAAACUGUCCGGCUAGAGUAUGGUAGAGAGAAGCGGAAUUCCACAUGUAGCGGUGAAAUGCGUAGAUAUGUGGAGGAACACCAGUGGCGAAGGCGGCUUCCUGGACCAAUACUGACGCUGAGGUGCGAAAGCGUGGGGAGCAAACAGGAUUAGAAACCCUAGUAGUCC